Gallus gallus (chicken) is the source of this 1095-nucleotide long non-coding RNA. The record is from Ensembl. NCBI's taxonomy places the organism in Eukaryota, Metazoa, Chordata, Aves, Galliformes, Phasianidae.
GAUCUACAAGUACGAGCAAUGAGAAUUUGAGACACAACACUAUAGUGGUUUCAUUUCAAGAGAAAAUAUGGCAGGUGACCUUGGUCUUGGAGUAAUAAGAGGUUUCAACUGUGCAGUGCCUAAAUGCGUUGGUCUGAAGUGUUUGCAAACAAGCUAUAUCUACUGAAGCGACCAGAAGAAAGCAGGCAACAAUGAUGAAUGUUAAAAACAGAUUAUUCACACAUGCUGGCCCUCAGACAGUGAGACAAACCUCUCUAAGUGCCUUCAACAGACCACAGAGAUUGACAAGCUCCUCCAAAGACCGCUUCAGAACCAGAACACAACUCCUAUCCACAGCUGCCAUCAUUAGGUUUCAGAAUGAAUGAUGAAUGGGAAAGGACGGAAGCAAUCCCUCCUACUGUUUGAAAGGCAGGAAAAUGUUUCUGCUCUGUAUCUCACAUGAGAGACCAUGCCAAGAAUGUUCAGCACCCCAGGAAGGUUGGUACUAAAGUCCAACACUUGAGCGCAACCUCCUUCCUUCUCCUUCCUUUGAUAUUCCACGUGGUCUGCCUCAGCCUUUGGCCUAAGCACUCCCGCUCUCAGGCAGGUCAUGGACUUAUCCAUGCCUUCACUUCACUGAGUCACAGAGGAAACAGCUACUGAUGGCAUGCAUCAGCUUUGCAAAGAGCAUGCAAGAAGUCACAGGAACUUCCACUCUGCCCUAUACCCCAGCAUAAGAAUCUAUUACUUGCUGACUCGUAAACCUCAUAAAGGUUUAAAGUGUUUCUUUUUAAAGCAAACUCUUUAGGCAAGACUUUGAGCUCUUCUCCUUCCACUGUUUCGAAGCCAUUUUGUUCAGCAAGCUGCAGACCCAAAGCCCAGGGAGCUGAUUGCUGCCCUGCUAAACAAUCAUUUCAUUUGGGGCUGGGGCAUUUCAGGGAAGGGACCCACCGCCCAGGAGAAGUCACUCUAAGAGAAAAUGCUUACUUGGUGGCCCUGAACUCCAAAGCCCUGGCUUUCCCCAGAGAAGAUGCUUACAAAAAUAGCCCCAAGAAUAAACCUAAAAUGUGACCCAAGAAGAGCGACAGGAGUGAGGCACACAUCCACCAGCACCGA